Molecule: long non-coding RNA, 785 nt
Filed under: Physcomitrium patens
Lineage: Eukaryota; Viridiplantae; Streptophyta; Bryopsida; Funariales; Funariaceae
Description: long non-coding RNA (PPAT_LNC008195)
Source: RNAcentral
CCCACGCCCCUCAUGGAACUAGAAACCUCUACAGGUUCUUGAAGUCAUACACGCAUGUGCCAUCGUCACUGCGAGCAGUGGGGUCGAAAUUCUCUGCGUUCGGGUCGGUGCAUCCUUCCGGAACCUUGAGAUCCAUGUGCUGCGCUGCGUUCCCUCCUGUACAAGGUACCGUAAUUUCUGGUCAGCUGUCACUGCUUCAAGCUCGCAAACCUCACUUAAGGAAUCACACUGCAAGGACUCGCGCACUGGUGCCGAGCACGAUCGAGUCACACAAAGUAUUCCAAGCAUCGUCUCCGACCACCCUGUUCACUCACCGUAGAAGGUCCCCUGCUUAAUGGCGUCGGCGUUUGCGUCUCCCAGGGCGUCGGACGACAGGUACUCUUCGGCGAGUUGCACACGUUUUACGUUCUGCUGCUCCUGGACCAGCAUGUCUCCAUACUCCAUCAGCUUCUCGAUGGUCAUCGCUGGCUUCUGGAAAGUUGGGGGCCCAUCUUUGGAGUUCACCAGGUUCCUGCCGAUGUUCUCGAUUCCCACCUUCCCGAUCCACUUCCUCACCUCAUCAUCGUACACGCGGGCCCUCAGGGCGCCGAAGAAAUCUGCACCACCGAUUCCCCCACCCAGUCAGACACAUUCCACUCCCACAUCUCAACAGCCGAGCCAACUCGGUUGCAUGCUCUGCACCACAUCUACCUCUCUGCGCAGCCACCGACUGACCACAAAUCGCAGGGACAGAAACGACGAGGGGAAGUCGCCCACAAUCCAAGUCACAAAUCACUGUCACGACU